GCAAACUUGGUCAUUUAGAGGAAGUAAAAGUCGUAACAAGGUUUCCGUAGGUGAACCUGCGGAAGGAUCAUUACUGCCGUUGGGACGCUGUGCUCUGCAUGGCGUGCCUUCUAUGCGGCCACCCGUGUUUACCUGACCUUUUGUUGCUUCGGCGGUGCCUUCCAACGCUCGCUUGGUACCGUGCCCGCCAGGAAGCUAACGCAGAACCUGUAUACUAUGAACGAUUGUCUGAGUGGGUUGAUGGAAUUAGUUAAAACUUUCAACAAUGGAUCUCUUGGUUCCGGCAUCGAUGAAGAACGCAGC
Molecule: unclassified non-coding RNA, 303 nt
Filed under: uncultured fungus
Lineage: Eukaryota; Fungi
Description: partial contains small subunit ribosomal RNA, internal transcribed spacer 1, and 5.8S ribosomal RNA
Rfam family: Eukaryotic small subunit ribosomal RNA (bases 1-73)
Source: RNAcentral